GGGUGUAGCUUCGUGGUAGAACAUUUGCCUAGUAUGGAAAAGGCCCUGGGUUCAAUCACCAGCACCAAACA
RNAcentral lists this transfer RNA (71 nucleotides) under Marmota monax (woodchuck). RNAcentral's name for it is "tRNA.Thr". Lineage: Eukaryota; Metazoa; Chordata; Mammalia; Rodentia; Sciuridae. The record is from RNAcentral.